Molecule: non-coding RNA, 790 nt
Organism: Arachis ipaensis
Lineage: Eukaryota; Viridiplantae; Streptophyta; Magnoliopsida; Fabales; Fabaceae
Source: RefSeq, a predicted model, not a curated record
AAAUAAGAGAAAUACGAUGAAAGCAAAGGGAAAUGAGAAGAACACAAGUGAAAUACCCCAAAUCCUCACUCAAACUUCAUUCCGCCAUAACUUUCGAUCCGGAGCUUCGAUUAACGAGCCGUCAGCGGUCACGUGUUUGUCUCGGAAUCCUCUACGAAACCCACCCAACAAUUUGGUGUGCUCAAGUAGUGCGGAAUCACUGGGCCUUGUCCCAAUUCCCUGUGGGUAAGAUGAAAUUAUAUGUAUUGGUGGCAAAUUUGUGGAGUUGGAAGCUAAAUUUUCUGUUUGGAAAUAUUCGGAGCUUUGGGUUUUAUGGAACGGUGGUCAUUUGUGGCGUUCCGAGCUUAGGGGAGAAUUCGGCCAAGAUUCAGGUUGAGAAGCACCACUCUGUAUUCUGGAGACUCGGGUGAAGCGAAGAACUUUUGGGGCUCGGAGACGUAUUUUGUUUAUAUUUAUGUGGUAAUGAAUUUGGUGGUGAAAGAUAACCAAGGGAUUCACAUGAUGGUGAUUCAUAUGGGACUCGUUCAAAGGAGCAUCGGGUUCUGAUGUCCCUGCUUCACCUUCUGGAUAUGAAAGGGAGAAUUAUAGGAAUGAGAGGAGGCAUCACAGAGAUGAGUCCAGAAGUGGUAGCAGAAGACUGCAACAUGUUGACAAUUUUGAAAGAUGAAGUGACUGAUAAGUCCGAGUUUGGCGAAGAACACAAGUAUGAGAUUACUGAAAGCAUGCGCGCAGAGAUGGAAUAUGAUGCUGACCGGGCAUGGUAAUUAUGAUAAUUAAACUUCAUUUUGAG